RNAcentral lists this long non-coding RNA (7054 nucleotides) under Capsella rubella. RNAcentral describes it as "long non-coding RNA (CRUB_LNC003095)". The record is from RNAcentral. Lineage: Eukaryota; Viridiplantae; Streptophyta; Magnoliopsida; Brassicales; Brassicaceae.
UACGAUCGAGUAGCAGAUCGAGCAGAAGGGACGCGAAGCAGAACCACCUGUCACUCGAUGCACACACUCGAGUGACAUGAUCGAGCAAAGCAAAGAAGUAGCUGAUGAUUUCAUAGAUCACUCGACACAUUCACUCGAGAUACGUAUGAAAUGAUGCAGAGAAGAAAUUAAGUGUUACUCGACACGCUCACUCGACCGACAGGGCCAUUACAACUUUUAAACCGCUUUUACGUUGUCGUUUUAUGUUUUAAAGUUUUCUCAAACAUUGUUAUAAAUAGGUCUCAUUUGGUUUGCCCAAGGGAUCGAGUUUUUAUUAGGUUUUUGUUGUUAGCCACCAAACAAUCCAGAAAAUUGUAAUUCAUAUUUCUUUUGAGUUAUUGAGAUUUUGCAACUAGUUCUUGAAUCAUUGUUGUUACUCUUCCUAUCAUCCUUAUUAUUAAGCAUGUUUUAAACGAUUUGUGUUUGAUGAUGUUUAACAUGAUUUCUGCAUCUGAGUAAUGUUAGGGUUCUUGAGGAUGGGAUAGAUUAGGUGGAGGAUGUUAGUUUGCUAGAGUGUUUAUGUUAGAUUCGUUUUGAUUCCCUUCUGGAUUAAUUAGAGUUUUAUUAGCUAGUUCUUCUCUGAUCAAUUGGAACAGGGUCAUAGACAUUUCAUACCCGAAAGGUAUAUGAUGAAAUGUCUUAACCAACUAGUGCCAGAGAUUUACAUGCUUAGCCCAAGAGAUUGGUUGUCUAAGAUGUUUAUUGACAUUAAUGAGCUGUUUCUUUAUGCAUGUUUACUACAUGUUUCAUCAAUGAGAAUUGAGAUUAGGAAGUGUUGUAAACUUGAUAGUUUCUGCCAAGAGAUUGGAUUGACUAGUAUUAGAAGUUCAUUGUCUAGGGAUUAGAAUGUUUGCAGUUUGAUAAACACUCGAAGUAGAUUAGCAUACUCCACCUACAUCAAUAACCUCAUCCUCGGGAGCUUCUAUCCAUUUGUGCUUUCUGUUUAAUUCUCUUGUUAUUUACUUGUUCUGCUUUGUUUUCUUGUCAGUAUCAAUAAUCGUUACGUUUUAGCUUAUGCAUGGUAGUCUACGUUUUACAGCCUUACAUUUAUCGCAUGUUUAACAUGUUCACUUAGGAUCACUGAAAACCAAAAAUCAUUAAUGCUUGUUUGACUUAAUCAUUUCUGAUAUAUCUUGAUUGCUAGCAUCACACCUGAUUGGAUUGAUACCUAUUGUACUGCAAUGACAUGAUAGUACUCUAGGGAAAUUGAUAGCAAAAUCCUAGUAUCAAUUUGGCGCCGCUGCCAUUUGGGUGUUUGUUUGUUACAUUUAAGAUUUCAGACUUGCUAAGAUCAAGUUUUUACUCAACAUUCAGUACAGUUACUCAUUCUGUUCUUUCUGUUUGUCUAUUGCUUCAGGUACAACUCUUGCCCAACUGCUCCUAUUCGACUGACACACUCAACCGUCUCGCGAGCUAAGUUGAUUUGAUUUGUAUGCACACACGGUCGCAAGGCACAGACAACUUGUUCCAGCCCUCCGACCAUAUUGAUCGCUUGGUACCUGCAUCAAGACAGCAACGUAAUAGAGUUACACCACCACAAGUGGAGAUGGAAAACAUUCACAACCUCCUCCACCACGGGCACCUACACGGAUUGGAGCUGGUGAUGCUCCACGCAACCAUACCCAUCGUCAGGGUGUAGUGCCUCCAGCCGUGCAGAACAACAACUUUGAGAUCAAGAGUGGUCUGAUCUCCAUGGUCCAGCAUAAUAAAUUUCAUGGUCUGUCUAUGGAAGACCCCCUGGAUCACCUCGAUGAGUUUGAUCGUCUCACCAAGAUCAACGGGGUCAGUGAGGAUGGUUUUAAGCUCCGACUCUUCCCAUUCUCUCUGGGUGACAAAGCGCAUCAAUGGGAGAAAACUCUACCUCAUGGAUCUAUCACCUCCCUGGAACAAUGCAACCAGUCAUUUCUUGCCAAGUUCUUCUCAAACUCCAGAACUGCACGUCUGCGCAAUGAGAUUUCUGGGUUCACUCAGAAGAAUGGUGAAACACUCUGUGAAGCUGGGAGCGCUUCAAAAGUUAUCAGUCUCAGUGUCCCCACCAUGGCUUCAGCAAAGAGUCUCUCCUCAGUAAUCUCUACCGGAGCGUUCUUCCAAAGAUCAGGAUGUUAUUUGACACUGCCAGCAACGGCAACUUUCUGAACAAGGACGUCUACGAUGGUUGGGAGCUUGUUGAGAAACUAGCCCAAUCUGAUGGCAGCUACAAUGAAGACUAUGAUAGAACCAUCAGGGCAAGCACAGAUCUUGAUGAGAAGUACAAGAAGGAGAUGAAAGCUGUGAAUGAUAAGCUGGACAGACUCUUGAUGAGCCAGCAAAGGAAUGUCCAUUUCGUCUCUGAAGAAUACCCUUUCCAGAUUCCAGAUGGGGAGGGAGAACAUUCGUAGGAGAUAAGCUAUGUACAGAAUCAAGGUGGAUACAACACAGGAUACAACUCCUAUAAGCAAAACCCCAAUAUGUCUUAUAGGACCACUAACGUUGCAAAUCCACAAGACCAAGUAUAUCCACCUCCACCACAGCAGCAGGGGCAAAACAAGUUAUUUGUGCCUUACAACCAAGGUUAUGUGCCCAAACAACAGUUUCAGCAAGGUUACCAAUCUCCAACUGGACCACCACCAGGAUUCCAACCUCAAAAAGCUCCGCCACCUCAGGCACCAGAUCAUGACAUGAAAAACAUGCUGCAAUAGUUAUUGCAAGGACAGACAAGUGGAUCUAUAGAGUCUGCUAAGAAGUUUGCAGAGAUGAAUAAUAAGAUGGACUACACAUACAAUGCUCUCAAUCUCAAGAUUGAAGCCUUGACCUCUAGAAUGCUUCACCUGGAAAGCAAGAAUGCAUCUACUUCUUCAGGACAACUCCCAGGGAAAGCCGUCCACAACCCCAAAGAGUUUGCAACAUCCCAUGCCAUCACCUUAAGAGAGUUACCUAUUACAAAAAAGUUUUAUGGAUAUCACUGCGGACAGUGAGGAUCUAGAUGGGGAGGAUUUUUCUCCAAAUGAAGAUUCCACACAACUAAUCAAAGUCGAUCAUGAUCCACCUGCCAUGGUAAAACAUGAUGUUCCAAAGAGUAAGGAACCACGUUACAUUCCUCCACCCUACACGCCUCCAUUACCAUUCCCUGAAAGAUUCAAGAAAAAAAUAAUGGAGAAGUAUAAAGGACUGCUCGACACACUCGAAGGGACUGAACUAACAAAAGCUUUGGUAGAUGCUCAUGCAAAGAUUCUGUCUUACAAUAAAAUCUUGAAAGAGGUCCUAUUGGGAAGGAUUCAAGAGAAGAAGGAAAUAACUAAAGAUGCUGAGGAGAAAGCUGAGGAAGAUGAGAGAGUAAAAUCAGUUAACCAUGAGUGUUGUGCCAUUGUCCAUAAAGAGGUUAUCCCAAAGAAGCUAGAAGAUCCUGGUUCAUUUACUUUGCCUUGCACAAAAGGUCCACUAUCUUUCAGUAGGUCUCUCUGUGACCUAGGAGCGUCAGUUAGUCUCAUGCCUCUCUCUGUGUCUAGAAGGUUAGGUUUUACACAAUACAAAACCUGCAACCUAUCCCUCAUCUUGGCAGACAGAACGGUUAGGGUUCCAUAUGGCUUGUUGGAAGAUCUCCCAGUAAAGAUUGGUGAAGUAGAAGUACCAACUGACUUCAUUGUUUUGGAGAUGGAUGAUGAGCCUCAAGAUCCACUCAUCCUAGGAAGACCAUUCUUAGCUACAGCAGGAGCAAUCAUUGAUGUCGGAAAAGGGAUGAUUGAUCUCAAUCCGGGUAAAAACUUCAAGAUGAAGUUUGAUAUCAAGGACGUCUUGAGUACGCCAACAGUUGAUGGGCACACUUUCUCCACUGAAGAUGACUCAACUAAGCAAAUACUCAAGCAAGGUGUCAAAGAAUCUAUGGAUCCCUCAUCGGAUGGUUGUUUAGAACUUCGAAUUAUCAAUGUUUUGAAAGAUUCAGUGAAAAGGUUAACAACUAUGGUCAAGCAAAUGGGUGGGCAAAUCAAGAAAUUCAAAAGAAAAAUCAAUGGUCCUUGUCCAAGGAGACAGAGUGUGAGUGUAAAGAUGAGCAGCAGAUCCUGUGAUAUUGACCUAGGAAAAAGAGGAGGAAUGAAAUCUCUAAGAAUAGAGGGUGCUUCAACACCUCUCUAUGAGCCUCCUUAAGCCUAAAAGGCAUAAACAGUCAAGCUUAGUGACUUUAAACAAGCUCAUUUGGGAGGAAAUCCCAAAGUUAUCCCUGUAAAUACUGCUUAGGAUUUCUUGUUAUUUUGAUUUUUGUUUUUGGUUUUAUGUUGGUCAGGACGUCAGACAUGUUCAUAUAUGUUCGUCCACGAGUGAUGUACUAGCACGCAAUAGAACUCCUUCUCCAUCAAGACAUUCCGCUUAUGACUAUAGGGCACAAUGUUUCUUUCUCUCCUCUAAGACAAUCUUCCCAUGAUCUUAGGGACAGCAAGAAGAAAGAGAAAAGGAAAAAGAAGAAUGCAGCAAGGCGGAAAGCAAAGGCGAGCAUCACGUUGAGGAUUUGACUAUGAAUCCAGACAAGCAUCUCAUUGAAGACCGGACUGUUGAUCCAGGAGCGUAUUAUUUUGAAGAUCCUAGGGAUCCGGUUGUACAUCAUGUUGAGGAUCCGGUCGAGCAGAACGUUGAGCAACUAGUAGAGGCUCCUCCUGUGCAGUCUGCACCAGGCCCUUAUACAAGCGAGUCCAUGACUACAUACCUGGACUGUUAUUUUCAGUAAGGUACCACUCCAAACCUUCAUUUGUAUAUACCAUUGCAUUUUCAUACUUUUGUUUGUUUGAUUCUCAAACCAACUCUCAAAUUUUUAUUACACAAGGGACUGUGUAAUUUAAGUUUGGGGGAGGGUUUGGGAUGACAUUUGAUGUUGUGUUCUCUUUUUUUAUUUCGUAUUUUUAGCAUAUAAUUUGCAUUCAUAUAUAUGCAUUGAAAACUCCUAAAAAUUUGAAAAGUUUUCAGAAAAAAAUCUUUAAAAACAGAGUGAUCAUGUAGCUUGCAUUUGCAUACUAGGAUUGAGUCUAGAUUAUUUCAUGUAGGACUGUUGCAUUAGCAUAGGGGGCGAUGAUGAUUUACACCUUGUUAACUUGCUAUGAUUCACUAGUUGAGAUCAAUGCCCUGGUAUUUAGCUCUUUGAUGCAUGAUGAUUGAACUUGAAAUAAGUCUGAAACAAACUUGGAAUUCAUGAAGAGCAUUCUUGAACUUGGUUGAAGCAUGUUGUGGUAUGAUCUCAUUUCUUACCUUAUAAGAACUUAAUCUUGACUUGCAAAAAUCUGGUUGUGUUUUGCUUGCAUGCUCAUGGUCACCAUAUACAUAUUUGGAUCAUCUUCCUCCUUUCACCACUCUUGUUGAUCCAAGUAGUUGAUAUUUCUUUUGAUCAGUUUGCCAUACCCACAUCCUUUUCUUUCAAGCCAAUUGAUAAUUUUUGAGUGGUAGGUCUUUUACCGGAUUAUGCUUGGGGAGAACGUGUUAGGUAUGAGCCGACAUGAUUAAAAUCUUGAGUAGUUCUGCUUUUCACUUUCAAAUCAGAUAGGACUAGGUCUGGAUUCUUACUUGGGUUUAGGAUUGGAAUGAUUGUGGAAAGCAAGAAGAGAAACAAAAAACGUUGUGUCCUUAGGAUGAGAAUGUUUUUCUAGAAGUUUAUACUCUAGUGAUUGAUUUUUAUGAAGAUAGCAUGAUAUACAGAGAAUGGUUAUGGGAUGUAAAGAAAGAGAAAAAGUUUUGAUGUUUUAUAACAUAAGAAGAAAACAGAACCAUAGUAAGGACGAAACCCCCUAUCCACUAGUAUUGAUAAGAAACUUCUCUUAAUGCAAAAAGAAAAAAAAUGGGAUUGAUGUUGAAAGGUAGACAUAGGAAUCAUUCGGGUUUAGAUGAUUAGGAGUAAGCACUUGGGAACCAUUGGGUAGUCAACGUUUUAUUCCUGUAUGCAUUUGUUGGUCCUUACCUUUAGCAUUCUCCCUAAAGCUCAAUCCAUUCAUUGAGAGAUCCUUGUCCUGAAAUUGUUUAAACCCUCUUGAUUCUCAAAUCCUUUUUCUGCCUAGCCAAGUGAGUUUGUUAAGCCUUGCACAACCAGAUUCAUAUUCUUGAGUAAUGAAUGUUAAAAGGAAUGAAUGAUUUGGAAUGCAUGUGUAGAUCAAGGGAUAUAAUCAGUUUCGGAUUUGAUGAGUUUGUCUAAAGUGUUUAAGUAAAGUUCUCUCAGCAUGCAUCAAAGACUUAGCAACCAGGACAUUGAUUUUAACUGCUCUAUCUUGCAAGUUACAGGUUCUGAGACCCCAUUUUCAACCCUCUCUUCCACUUUGUUUCUUUUGCUUUGCUUGAGGGCAAGCAAAGACUAAGUUUGGGGGAGUUGAUAAGUCUGUAUUUCAUCACUUUUUGGGCAUGCAUUCAUCAUCUUUUCAGCAUCAUUCACUUGUUGGUUCGCAUCAUAUUGAUCACUUUUGCAUGUUUUGCAUACUUAGGUAGGUUUUGUGCAUGUCAUGCACAUCUUGCAUACAUUCGCAUAUUGGAGUGUUUCAGGUACUAAGCAGACAUGCAUCACAGAGCAGAGGAACAAGUAUCACUCGACAGGCACACGAUCGAGUAGGAUGAUCGAGUAGGCAGCAGAGAUACAUUGCAAAUACAUCGACGAUCGAGUGAGCAGCAUAUGUAUACGAUCGAGUAGCAGAUCGAGCAGAAGGGACGCGAAGCAGAACCACCUGUCACUCGAUGCACACACUCGAGUGACAUGAUCGAGCAAAGAAAAGAAGUAGCUGAUGAUUUCACAGAUCACUCGAUACGUUCACUCAAGAUACACGGUCGAGUAUGAAAUGAUGCAGAGAAGAAAUUAAGUGUUACUCGACAUGCUCACUCGACCGACAGGGCCAUUACAACUUUUAAACCGCUUUUACGUUGUCGUUUUAUGUUUUAAGGUUUUCCCAAACAUUUUUAUAAAUAGGUCUCAUUUGGUUUGCCCAAGGGAUCGAGUUUUUAUUAGGUUUUUGUUGUUAGCCACCAAACAAUCAAGAAAAUUGUAAUUCAUAUUUCUUUUGAGUUAUUGAAAUUUUGC